This 453-nucleotide ribosomal RNA is filed under the name uncultured Porphyromonadaceae bacterium. RNAcentral describes it as "partial 16S ribosomal RNA". It matches the Rfam family "Bacterial small subunit ribosomal RNA", at positions 341 to 792 of the family's 1533-position model. The record is from RNAcentral. Lineage: Bacteria; Pseudomonadati; Bacteroidota; Bacteroidia; Bacteroidales; Porphyromonadaceae.
ACGGAAGGCAGCAGUGAGGAAUAUUGGUCAAUGGACGGAAGUCUGAGCCAGCCAAGUCGCGUGAAGGAUGAAGGUAUUAUGUAUUGUAAACUUCUUUAGCAGUGGAGUAAUAAGGGGAUCGCGAUCCCUGAUGCAAGUACACUGAGAAUAAGGAUCGGCUAACUCCGUGCCAGCAGCCGCGGUAAUACGGAGGAUCCGAGCGUUAUCCGGAUUUAUUGGGUUUAAAGGGUGCGCAGGCGGCUUUUUAAGUCAGUGGUUAAAUCGUGACGCUCAACGUCAUCACGCCAUUGAUACUGGAGAGCUUGAUUGCGGUCGAGGUUUGCGGAAUUCGUUGUGUAGCGGUGAAAUGCAUAGAUAUGACGAAGAACACCGAUUGCGUAGGCAGCUGACCAGUCCGUAAAUGACGCUCAUGCACGAAAGUGCGGGGAUCGAACAGGAUUAGAUACCCUGGUA